Molecule: ribosomal RNA, 549 nt
Filed under: uncultured bacterium
Lineage: Bacteria
Description: bacterial SSU rRNA
Rfam family: Bacterial small subunit ribosomal RNA
Source: RNAcentral
UAGGGAAUCUUCCACAAUGGACGCAAGUCUGAUGGAGCAACGCCGCGUGAGUGAAGAAGGGUUUCGGCUCGUAAAGCUCUGUUGGUAGUGAAGAAAGAUAGAGGUAGUAACUGGCCUUUAUUUGACGGUAAUUACUUAGAAAGUCACGGCUAACUACGUGCCAGCAGCCGCGGUAAUACGUAGGUGGCAAGCGUUGUCCGGAUUUAUUGGGCGUAAAGCGAGUGCAGGCGGUUCAAUAAGUCUGAUGUGAAAGCCUUCGGCUCAACCGGAGAAUUGCAUCAGAAACUGUUGAACUUGAGUGCAGAAGAGGAGAGUGGAACUCCAUGUGUAGCGGUGGAAUGCGUAGAUAUAUGGAAGAACACCAGUGGCGAAGGCGGCUCUCUGGUCUGCAACUGACGCUGAGGCUCGAAAGCAUGGGUAGCGAACAGGAUUAGAUACCCUGGUAGUCCAUGCCGUAAACGAUGAGUGCUAGGUGUUGGAGGGUUUCCGCCCUUCAGUGCCGGAGCUAACGCAUUAAGCACUCCGCCUGGGGAGUACGACCGCAAGGUU